AAUCCAUGCAUCAGACAUUUUCUAAUUAAGUCUUUAAAUCGUUCCCAAGCUUCAUAUAGCGUCUCAUCUUUCAUUUGACAAAAAGACAUAAUAUCGUUUCUCAACUU
Gossypium arboreum is the source of this 107-nucleotide non-coding RNA. The record is from Rfam. NCBI's taxonomy places the organism in Eukaryota, Viridiplantae, Streptophyta, Magnoliopsida, Malvales, Malvaceae.